Molecule: ribosomal RNA, 1476 nt
Filed under: human gut metagenome
Description: bacterial LSU rRNA
Rfam family: Bacterial large subunit ribosomal RNA
Source: RNAcentral
AAUCGAACCCGGAGAUAGCUGGUUCUCCUCGAAAUAGCUUUAGGGCUAGCCUCAUACAAGUCUUGCGGAGGUAGAGCACUGAAUUUCCUAGGGGGCGUCAAAGCUUACCGAAGAAUAUCAAACUCCGAAUGCCGUGUAGAUGUUGUAUGGGAGUCAGACUGUACGAGAUAAGUUGGACAGUCAAAAGGGAAAGAGCCCAGACCGCCGGCUAAGGUCCCAAAGUGGGUGUUAAGUGGAAAAGGAUGUGGGAUCUCUAAGACAACCAGGAUGUUGGCUCAGAAGCAGCCAUUCAUUAAAAGAGUGCGUAACAGCUCACUGGUCGAGAGGUCCUGCGCCGAAAAUGUCCGGGGCUGAAACACGACACCGAAGCUUAGGAAUCACAUAGUGAUUGGUAGAGGAGCAUUCUUAAAACCGACGAAGCUGUACCGGAAGGAGCAGUGGAGGGAUAAGAAGAGAGAAUGCCGGAAUGAGUAGCGAGAGAGAGGUGAGAAUCCUCUCGGCCGAAUAUCCAAGGUUUCCAGAGUAAAGCUGAUCUGCUCUGGGUAAGUCGGGGCCUAAGGAGAGGCAGAGAUGCGUAUCCGAUGGACAGCAGGUUUAAGAUUCCUGCACCCCUUGUUAUCAGAACUGCGGGGACACGGGAAGGGAAGCAGAGCCGGGAAUGGAAAGCCCGGUGCAAGCGAAGUAGUCGCAGGGUUGGAAAAUCCGCCCUGCAUAAGACGAAGGCGUGAUGCGGAGCGAAAUGAAGUAGUGAAGCUGCGGCCCCUUCCUGUCGAGAAAAGCCGCUAUCGUGUAGCAAGGGCCCGUACCGUAAACCGACACAGGUGGAUGAGGAGAGGAUCCUAAGGCCGGCGGGAGAAGUGUUGUUAAGGAACUCGGCAAAAUGACUCCGUAACUUCGGGAGAAGGAGUGCUGCGCAAGCAGCCGCAGAGAAAUGGCCCAAGCAACUGUUUAGCAAAAACACAGGUCUAUGCGAAACCGAAAGGUGAGGUAUAUGGGCUGACGCCUGCCCGGUGCUGGAAGGUUAAGGGGAGAGCUUAGCGCGAGCGAAGGUUUGAACUUAAGCCCCAGUAAACGGCGGCCGUAACUAUAACGGUCCUAAGGUAGCGAAAUUCCUUGUCGGGUAAGUUCCGACCCGCACGAAAGGCGUAAUGAUUUGGGCACUGUCUCAACAACACACCCGGUGAAAUUGAAAUACCAGUGAAGAUGCUGGUUACCCGCGCCAGGACGGAAAGACCCCAUGGAGCUUUACUCCAGCCUGAUACUGGGAUUCGGUAUUGCAUGUACAGGAUAGGUGGGAGGCUAAGAACUCAUGGCGCCAGCCGUGAGGGAGCCGAUGUUGGGAUACCACCCCUGCAGUACUGGGUUUCUAACCUGCGCCCGUGACCCGGGCGGGGGACAAUGUCAGGCGGGGAGUUUGACUGGGGCGGUCGCCUCCGAAAGGGUAUCGGAGGCGCUCAAAGGUUCCCUCAGAAUGGU